This 412-nucleotide ribosomal RNA is filed under the name uncultured Streptococcus sp. RNAcentral's name for it is "partial 16S ribosomal RNA". The record is from RNAcentral. Lineage: Bacteria; Bacillati; Bacillota; Bacilli; Lactobacillales; Streptococcaceae.
CACGUAGUUAGCCGUCCCUUUCUGGUAAGAUACCGUCACAGUGUGAACUUUCCACUCUCACACUCGUUCUUCUCUUACAACAGAGCUUUACGAUCCGAAAACCUUCUUCACUCACGCGGCGUUGCUCGGUCAGACUUCCGUCCAUUGCCGAAGAUUCCCCUACUGCUGCCUCCCGUAGGAGUCUGGGCCGUGUCUCAGUCCCAGUGUGGCCGAUCACCCUCUCAGGUCGGCUAUGUAUCGUCGCCUUGGUGAGCCGUUACCCCACCAACUAGCUAAUACAACGCAGGUCCAUCUGGUAGUGAUGCAAUUGCACCUUUUAAGCAAAUGGUCAUGACAACCUAUUUACUGUUAUGCGGUAUUAGUCUAUCGUUUACCAAUACGUUACUCCCCCGCUACCAGGCGUACGGUUACC